Long non-coding RNA from Eriocheir sinensis (Chinese mitten crab), 9049 nucleotides. RefSeq lists it as uncharacterized. Lineage: Eukaryota; Metazoa; Arthropoda; Malacostraca; Decapoda; Varunidae. The transcript has 4 exons. The record is from RefSeq and is a predicted model, not a curated record.
CUCUCUCAGUUUCUUAUGUACUUAGAGAUCUCAAGGUUUUAUUUUGGCUAGUAUAUAAAGCAUUUUCCAGAUCAAUUCUCCAUUCUAUCAAUCUCUUCUCACCCACGAUCUCCCAUCCAUCUCAACUCUACCAAUUUCUUAUGUAUUUAGAGAUCUCAAGGUUUUAUUUUGGCUAGUGGAUAAAGCGUUUUCCUGAUCAAUUCUCCAUUCGAUCAAUCUCUUCUCAACCACGAUCUCCCAUCCAUCUCAACUCUCUCAGUUUCUUAUGUAUUUAGAGAUCUCAAGGUUUUAUUUUGGCUAGUAGAUAAAGCAUUUUCCAGAUCAAUUCUCCAUUCGAUCAAUCUCUUCUCAACCACGAUCUCCCAUCUAUCUCAACUCUACCAAUUUCUUAUGUAUUUAGAGAUCUCAAGGUUUUAUUUUGGCUAGUGGAUAAAGCGUUUUCCAGAUCAAUUCUCCAUUCUAUCAAUCUCUUCUCACCCACGAUCUCCCAUCCAUCUCAACUCUACCAAUUUCUUAUGUAUUUAGAGAUCUCAAGGUUUUAUUUUGGCUAGUGGAUAAAGUGUUUUCCAGAUCAAUUCUCCAUUCGAUCAAUCUCUUCUCACCCACGAUCUCCCAUCCAUCUCAACUCUCUCAAUUUCUUAUGUAUUUAGAGAUCUCAAGGUUUUAUUUUGGCUAGUAGAUGAAGCAUUUUCCUGAUCAAUUCUCCAUUCUAUCCAUCUCUUCUCAACCAUGAUCUCCCAUCCAUCUCAACUCUCUCAAUUUCUUAUGUAUUUAGAGAUCUCGAGGUUUUAUUUUGGCUAGUGGAUAAAGCGUUUUCCAGAUCAAUUCUCCAUUCUAUCAAUCUCUUCUCAACCACGAUCUCCCAUCCAUCUCAACUCUACCAAUUUCUUAUGUGUUUUUAGAUCUCAAGGUUUUAUUUUGGCUAGUGGAUAAAGCGUUUUCCAGAUCAAUUCUCCAUUCGAUCAAUCUCUUCUCACCCACGAUCUCCCAUCCAUCUCAACUCUACCAAUUUCUUAUGUAUUUAGAGAUCUCAAGGUUUUAUUUUGGCUAGUAGAUGAAGCAUUUUCCUGAUCAAUUCUCCAUUCUAUCAAUCUCUUCUCAACCACGAUCUCCCAUCUAUCUCAACUCUACCAAUUUCUUAUGUAUUUAGAGAUCUCAAGGUUUUAUUUUGGCUAGUAGAUAAAGCAUUUUCCUGAUCAAUUCUCCAUUCUUUCAAUCUCUUCUCAACCACGAUCUCCCAUCCAUCUCAACUCUACCAAUAUCUUAUGUAUUUAGCAAUCUAGAGGCUUUGUUUUGGUCAGUAUAUAAAGCAUUUUCUGGGUCAAUUCUCCAUUCUAUCAAUCUAUUGUCAGCCAUGAUCUCCUAUUCUCCUCAACCUUAGGAAUCUCUCAUGUAUGUAAAGAUGGGGAAGGUUGAAUCGGUCAGUAAUCGCAUUUUCCGGAUCAAUUCUCCGCUCCAUCAAUCUCUUCUCAGCCAUGAUCUCCCAUCCACGUAAACCAUAGCAAUCUCUUAUGUAUACCUCAACUAUCACUGGGAUCACAAAACAGUCCAUGAAAACCCACACAACUUCUACGAGAGGCUUUUCAAACAGGCGAACUGAGGGACCGAGGCGUUUAAUGAUACAGACACAGAAGAUUAACCGGGUCUUUAAGGGUGUUUUUCACGUUCAAGGUCCAGAAGUCGUGUAAAACUAUCACUGUGAUCACAAAACAGUCCAUGGAAUCCCACGCAACUUCUAUGAGAGGCUUUUCGAUUAGAUGGACUGAGUGGCCGAGACGUUUAAUAAUGGGUGUUUUUCUCCAUUCAAGGUCCAGAAGUCAUGCAAAACUAUCACCAGGGUCACAAAACAGCCCAUGAAAACCCAUGCAGCUUCUAUGAGAGGCUUUUCGAUUAGAUGGACUGAGUGGCCGAGACGUUUAAUAAUGGGUGUUUUUCUCCGUUCAAGGUGCAGAAGUCGUGUAAAACUAUCACCAGGGUCACAAAACAGCCCAUGAAAACCCAUGCAGCUUCUACGAGAGGCUUUUCAAAUAGGCAAACUGAGGGGCCGAGACGUUUAGUAAUACGGACUUAGGUCAUACUAGGACAAAAGACUAAAGAACAAUCAUUUUAGUAGUUGUGGCUGGCCUGUCGUGUGUUCUUAUUUAGCGUGUCUGUGUGUGGGUGUGAAUCAGGCUGACAACGCUAGCAGGCUACUUAUUAUUUUAGCUAACUCACCAUUAUUCAGGGUUUUAUUGGUGGUAUUUAUAUUAGAGCAAUUCAUAGUACAGUCAUCCCUCAAAUAGUACAGUUUCCAAUAGUUCGGUUUCAGUUUUAUACGGAUUGUCAUGGAAGAAUUUUUUAGGAUUUUUAAAUUUCCCGCUCGUUGCACCAAGUAGCCAUGGCGUGAGUGGCAAUGUUGGUGUUAGCGAGUGUUCUAAGUGCUAAUCAGUUCACGGAUAGAGAAAGUCAUAUCCGCCAGGGUUACUUUAUUGGACAAAAAUCACAUAGGUCAUUACAACAAGGACAACACAUAGGAUAGGUGUUUGUUUGUGUAUGCGUUUGUGUGAAUGUUGUUUGUGUAGGUUAACAUUUAAGUGUGGGUGUAUGUGUAGAACAAUGUGUACGAAUGGACGACAAGAGGACAUGGACGGACAGUAGAAGAUAAACAAAUAACAAGAGAUAAACAAUUAGACACACAAGAAACAGCGAGACGGGAGCAUGAACGAAAACAUUGACACAAAGUAAAAAUGAAUAUAGAGUCUAUGCUGCAAUGCCCCAUUUUCUUAUUGUCACUGAGGGGAAGGAACACGGAAUUUGAGCGGUGACUGCUACAGCAACACUUCUACCAAAACACCUGCAGGUCCCAAACGCCCGUACUAUUUGAGGGACGACUUACUGGUGUAGUUAGUGGUUGCUCUGUAGUAUGACCUAAUCCAUGCUGCUUGUGUGUUGGACGGACGCUAACAAACUCGGCACUUGCAGUCUUUUUCUUUCAUAUAUUUGAUCUGUUUGAAGGUUUUUUGAAUCCGUUCAUUGAUGAUUUUUAGUCGCUUCCUGCUGAUUUGAUCUAAGUGUGGGUCUGUUGAUGUAUUGCUUAAUGAAACACUUCUUUGGUUGCUCAUUUCAUUGAUCUUUUUGAGGAUUUUGGUUGGUAUUAUCAGACACUCACUUCUCACAUCAGCUAUUUCUAAAGUUCAAAGAGGGGGUCAGUCAGGUUCUAAUGAGUGUCCCUUCAAGUUCAUGUUACAGAAGAAGGGUCAAACUACCACCAGGGUCUUAAUACUACUCCUGGAAAUGCCCACAACGCCUACGAAAGCCUUGUCAAAUAUGUGUUCUUGGGCGAUGAAAUGUUUUAUAAUACGACGCUUAGAGCAGAUUUCACAGUCCGUCACAGUGGCUUUGUAAUCACCCGAACCAAACUAUUUGAUCUUCUACACUCCAUGAUGGUUAGGUUUUCAAUACAAGACUGGAUACACAAAGGAUUUUCUGUAUGGUCUCCUCAAAUUUCUUAACUUAAACAUGAACACAUUUUUUUAUUAUUGUUUCCUUUUUCUGUGCCCUUGAGCUGUCUCCUUUGUUGUAAAAAAAAAAAAUAUGACGGAAUUUUUGAAGUUCUUGGUAUUGGUUUGGAGGCUUAUUAACCCAUCAUGGCGAACUGUGAAAGUGGCCCAUAGUUUAGUCAGCUGAUUAGCCAAACACUUCUCUUUUCUCUAUUCCUGCUGUCUAAAACAAGUCUUGCCAUCUGCAGCAGCUUUGUUUCUUUCACAAUACUCUAUAAUCACAACAGCAAGAAGCAUUUGUCAUUAUCAUUUUGGCAAUCAUCAGGCAUUUAUAAAGUCAUUAAAAAGCUACACACACUUCUCUCCUGCAUCUUGUUAGAAAUCUGUGAGUCGGUCCGCUGCGAUUGGCUCAGAUUUGGCCUUCACUGGUAGCCUGGUAACAUGCACUCCCAGGUCUUUCUCUGCCUCUGUGGUGGAUAGUGGAGUGUUUCCCAUGUGGUAUUGGUAUGCUGGAUAUCCCCUCCCAAGGUGCAAGACUUUACAUUUCUCUUCAUUGAAUUGUAGCAGCCACUUUUUGCUCCACUCCUGUAGCUUGGUGAUGUUUUCUUGUAGGAAAUCCGCAGCCAAGGGGUUAAGAAAGGAAUUAGGGCGUUGCUGGGAUGAACUUUAGUUAGGUUUGGUAGCCUCAUUCAGACAGGUGGGCUUUGAUUAACCUUCUACCUUUUUCAUUACUAUUAUCAUUAUUACCUUUAUCUUCGCCAUUCAUGAUUAUCCAGAAGACUUCCUCGUCGAGAACAUAUCAGUGUUAUAGUGAUUUAGAAGUGAUGAACAUACUGAUAAAUUUUAGGUGCACAAAUCAGUUAUGCUUAGUAUGUAGUCAGGGAAGUAGUCAAGUAUUUUUUAUCACUCCCUCGAUAGAUACGAGAAUCCAACAAUUGUGAUAAACUGAAUAAAUUGGUCGUGGUUAAGAUUGUUUAUAGAAGUGUUCCUUACAUUCCCUGCAAAGCUGAUCUCAUGUAAAAGUCAAGCUCGUGAAGACUAGAUGCUCUGAGGAAUGAAUUUGAUCCCCUUAGAAAUGUAGUAGAAGUAGUAGUAGCAGUAGUAGUAGUAGUAGUAGUAGUAGUAGUAGUAGUAAGCCCUCAGAAGAUGUGAAGACUUGAUGUUCUGAGGAAUGAACUUGAUCCCCUUAGAAAUGUAGUAGAAGUAGUAGUACCAGCAAUAGUAGUAGUAGUAGUAGUAGUAAGUCCUCAGAAAACGUGAAGACUUGAUGUUCUGAGGAAUGAAUUUAAUCCCCUUAGAAAUGUAGCAGAAGUAGUAGUAGUAGUAGUAGUAGUAGUAUCAAUAGUAGUAGUAGUAGUAGUUGUCCUCGUAGUAGCAGCAAGCCCUUAGAAAAGUAGAAUCCACAUAAACUCAAUCUCAUAAACUUUACCUUAAAAUAAUUAGUUAAAAAAUCCUCUUCUACACAAGUAUAGGAAGUAACUUGUUUGAAAAGACAAUGCCAGUACUCCUCAUGGGAAGGGACAAGUAGGAAGUGUAUUUUUAAACGUGCUUUUUGUGGCUGUAACCGUCGUGCCAACAUGAUAAAUUUACCCACGGCAGAACAUUUACCAUAAGGAGGUGUGCUGGCGAGUGCAUCGUAGGGAAACAAGUGUAGCAUAACAUAUUUUGUAAGCAUGGUUGUGGUCGCUAUAAGAUUCCAACAAGUGCAAAUUUAUUAACCCGGUAGCAGCGACGGGCCAAAUUUGUGGCUGUACCGUGUAGCAGUGACGGGCCAAAUUUGUGGCUGUACCGUGUAGCAGUGACGGGCCAAAUUUGUGGCUGUACCGUGUAGCAGCAACGGGCCAAAUUUGUGGCUGUACCGUGUAGCAGUGACGGGCCAAAUUUGUGGCUGUACCGUGUAGCAGCGACGGGCCAAAUUUGUGGCUGUACCGUGUAGCAGUGACGGGCCAAAUUUGUGGCUGUACCGUGUAGCAGUGACGGGCCAAAUUUGUGGCAUGAUAUAAAACCCCUAAAUUAGAUGAUGCAUAAACUGAUCACAAAUGCGUUGAUAUAUAUUAUGAAAUGGUUUGUGUGAGUGAUGAUUUUUUCUCAUUUUUCUCGCUUGGAGGGACCAUUAAGAAACAUGAUCCCUGCUGCUACCGGGUUAAAGGAAAGUUUGCUGUCAUGUUCAUAAGGAAGAAAGUGUCACGUGACAUCGCGUAACAUUUUAUAAGCCUGUUUCUGGUCGCUAUGAGAAUUUAACAGGUGCAAGAUUACUAAAGGAAAGUGUGCUGUUAGGUUUAUAGGGAAGAAAGCAUCACUACUAAAAGAAAGUGUGCUGUCAGGUUCACAGGUAAGAAAGCGUCACAUAACAUAGCGUAACAUUUUAAAGCAUGUUUCAGAUCGCUAUAAGAAUUUAACAGGGGCAUGAUUACUAAAAGAAAGUGUGCUGUCAGGUUCAUAGGAAAGAAAGCGUCAAGUAACAUUGCGUAACAUUUUAUAAGCAUGUUUCUGGUCGCUAUAAGAAUCAAAAAGUCGUAAUUUUGCGUAAAGGAAGUGUGCGUCGUUUGGAAGAAAGUGUAACAUGACAUAGCAUAACAUUUCCUAAGCCUGUUUUCAUGUUGCCAUAAGAAUCAAAAAGUCCGAAUUAUUUUGCAAGAAAGAAGAGUGCUGUAAGGUGCGUCAUAGGGAAUAAAGUGUAGUGUGACAUAUUCUCUAAGCGUGUGUCUGGUUGCUGUGAGAAUCUAACAGUCGGUGAUAACAUGAUCAAAUUAUGUGAUAGCCUGAGACGUUAAGAAGGAAUAUGGAGGUCUUAAAAGGCUACUACACUGGUCAAAUUUUCCGUGGAUCUUCAGUCAAACCACGAUUUCCGCUGGCGUGGUUCUCAUUUGUUUCUUGUUAUUGCUGCUGAUGAUGAUGGUGAGUAAUACCGUCAUCCUUCUGUGAAAUCUACCGUAGCUUUGGAAGAUCGUGGACACGUCAGAAAACAACGGAAAUAUAAGAACCACGCCAGCGGAAAUCGUGGUUUGACAAGAUCCACGGAAAAUUUGCCCAGUGUUAUAUCCCCUUUAAGCUUUGAGGUAUCUUUGUUGUGAUGGUAGAGUGCUUGCCUUGCAUCUCAGGAGCCUGGUUUUGAUUCCUUACGGUUUUAAUAUUUGCUAGAAGAAAAUGUAGUUAGGUUUGUAAUUGGAAAGAAGAUUAAACAUUACACUGUCUAUCAAAGUGUUGUGGUGGCAAUGAGUCUAACAGUCAUGGCAACUUUGAUCGGGUUAGUCGCAGUUAGAAUGUUUGAUAAAAGGAAAUGUACCAUGUUCUUACGUUCUUAUGUUCUUAUGUAUACGUAUAUUCGUGUAAAAGUCAGUAUUUUGUAAACAUCAACCCUCCCUCUGUUGGAAAAAAAUUAUCUUUAGUAGUAGAUUUUUAUUUUUAUUUUAUUUUUUUAUUUAUUUAUGUAUUUAUUUAUUUAUUUUAUUUAUUUUUUUUUUUUUUAUGUACUCUAAGAACUUCCAGUCACCCCUCAUGACAGUGGUGGCUUAACAAUGGACAUCCUUUCCCAUCCUUCCUUUCCUACCAGUGCGACAGGAAACAUAUGGCUUGCAUCUCUCAAAGGGGGUUAGACUUCACUGCCCUUUUUCAUAUAUUAAUUUUUUAAGGAAAGGGUUCAGCUCAAGGAUGCAAAAAAGAGGAAUCAAAAGAGGCCUACGAUGGUGCUGCUCCUUAGAGAGUGUGCAGAGGAGUAACAGGAAUAUUUAUGCACAGAGGAAUUAAUCUAACCCGGUAGCAGCGACAGGACAAAUUUGUGGCUUUACCGUGUACCAGCGACGGGCCAAAUUUGUGGCUUUAUGGUGUAUGUACAAUCGAUGGGCCAAAUUUGUGGCUUUACAGUGUACCAGCGACAGGCUAAAUUUAUGGCUUUAGUGUGAACCAGUGACGGGCCAAAUUUGUGGCUUUACAGUGUACCAGCAACAGGUUAAAUUUAUGGCUUUAGUGUGAACCAGUGACGGGGCAAAUUUGUGGUUUUACCAUGUACCAGCGCUGGGCUAAAUUUGUGGCUUUACCAUGUACCAGCGCUGGGCUAAAUUUGUGGCUUUACAGUGUACCAGUGACGGGCUAAAUUUGUGGCUUUACCAUGUACCAGCGAUGGGCUAAAUUUGUGGCUUUACAGUGUACCAGCAACGAGCCAAAUUUGUGGCUUUAGUGUGUACCAGUGACGGGCCAAAUUUGUGGCUUUACCAUGUACCAGCGAUGGGCUAAAUUUGUGGCUUUACCAUGUACCAGCGAUGGGCUAAAUUUGUGGCUUUACCAUGUACCAGCGAUGGGCUAAAUUUGUGGCUUUACCAUGUACCAGCGAUGGGCCAAAUUUUCGCCAUAAUAUAAACCCCAAAAAAUAGAUGAUGCAUAAACUGAUCACAAAUGCAUUGAUAUAUAUUAUUAUGAAAUGGUUUGUGUGAGUGAUGAUUUUUUCUCAUUUUUCUUGGUUAGAGGGACCUUUAAGAAACAUGAUCCCGCCAGCUACCGGGUUAAUACUUGGGCUUAUUAUUUUUUUCCAACAACUCACCCAGGCUUUGGAAAGAUGAGGCAGACUCUUGCACCAAGCCAAAUGGUAUCCCACUGCUUAAGACCUUUGUAUUCAUUACCAACAUGUCAGGCCAUCGCAAUUACUUAGGGUUUUAAUAUUUCCUAAUUGAUAAUGUAGUUAGGUUUGUAAUUGGAAAGAAAAUUUAGCAUUGCACUGUCUAUCAAAGUGUGUUUUGGUGCCAGUAAGUCUGACAGUCAAAUAGUUGUGAGUCAAAAGUGUCUGAGAAUGCUGGCCCUAGUAAUAUUUUUCUUAUGGUGGAAAAAAUGAUAAUAACAACCGUAGACAAAUUAGCCAAAGUUAGAAUCAUAGAGAAAAUUUCGUUAGAUUUGGCGUGAAAACGUGACCACAAGUUAUAUUAUCUAAGUGAAGAAAUGAUGAUGAUGAUAACCGUAGACAAAUUAGCCAAAGAUAAAAUGAUACAGAGAAAAUUUCGUUAGAUUUGUCGUGAAAACGUGACCACAAGUUAUAUUAUCUAAGUGAAGAAAUGAUGAUGAUGACAACCAUAGACAAAUUAGCCAAAGUUAGAAUCAUAGAGAAAAUUUCGUUAGAUUUGUUGUGAAAACGUGACCACAAGUUAUAUUAUCUAAGUGAAGAAAUGAUGAUGAUGACAACCAUAGACAAAUUCACCAAUGUUAGAAUGGUAAAGAAAAUUUCGUCAGAUUUGUCGUGGAGGUAACGUGACCACAAGUUGUAUUAUCUAAGUGUUCUUGUGGCAAUUCAUAUACGGGACGAGGAGGAGGAAGAGGGAGGACGCACAAUCCAUGUUCAUACAAUUGUUAUCACAUUCACAAAGUCUCCCAGGCCUCUCCUCAUCACCAGGUUGUCAGCCGCCACACCAGAGUCGCCUCCCCUCAUGGUGGUGUGCGUGUGGUGCCGGCAACACUCAAGCACAGGUUGUGGUAUUAUUGUUAACUUGUCCUCUCGUUCAUGUACUUAAGUAGCCAGGGAGAGGCAUGGAAAUGAAGAAUGAUGGAAGGAAGGUGGACGGUGAUCAAUAAACUUUGUGAUUGUU